AACGAACGCUGGCGGCAUGCCUAACACAUGCAAGUCGAACGAGGCCCUUCGGGGUUUAGUGGCGCACGGGUGCGUAACGCGUGGGAAUCUGCCCUUUGGUUCGGAAUAACAGCUGGAAACGGCUGCUAAUACCGGAUGAUGACGAAAGUCCAAAGAUUUAUCGCCAGAGGAUGAGCCCGCGUUGGAUUAGGUAGUUGGUGGGGUAAAGGCCUACCAAGCCGACGAUCCAUAGCUGGUCUGAGAGGAUGAUCAGCCACACUGGGACUGAGACACGGCCCAGACUCCUACGGGAGGCAGCAGUGGGGAAUAUUUUUUAAUGGGCGCAAGCCUGAUCCAGCAAUGUCGCGGGAGUGAUGACGGCCCUAGGGUUGUAAAGCUCUUUUACCCGGGAAGAUAAUGACUGUACCGGGAGAAUAAGCCCCCGGCU
RNAcentral lists this ribosomal RNA (427 nucleotides) under uncultured bacterium. Its description in RNAcentral is "bacterial SSU rRNA". It matches the Rfam family "Bacterial small subunit ribosomal RNA", at positions 29 to 498 of the family's 1533-position model. The record is from RNAcentral.